This 274-nucleotide ribosomal RNA is filed under the name uncultured bacterium. Its description in RNAcentral is "partial 16S ribosomal RNA". It matches the Rfam family "Bacterial small subunit ribosomal RNA", at positions 523 to 796 of the family's 1533-position model. The record is from RNAcentral.
AUACGGAGGGUGCAAGCGUUGUUCGGAAUCACUGGGCGUAAAGGGCGCGCAGGCGGUUUGAUUAGUCAGAUGUGAAAGCCCACGGCUUAACCGUGGAAGUGCAUUUGAAACUGUCAGACUUGAGUACUAGAGGGGAAAGUGGAAUUCCCGGUGUAGAGGUGAAAUUCGUAGAUAUCGGGAGGAAUACCGGUGGCGAAGGCGACUUUCUGGCUAGAUACUGACGCUGAGGCGCGAAAGCGUGGGGAGCAAACAGGAUUAGAAACCCCAGUAGUCC